RNAcentral lists this ribosomal RNA (515 nucleotides) under uncultured bacterium. RNAcentral describes it as "partial 16S ribosomal RNA". It matches the Rfam family "Bacterial small subunit ribosomal RNA", at positions 28 to 523 of the family's 1533-position model. The record is from RNAcentral.
GAUGAACGCUGGCGGCGUGCCUAAUACAUGCAAGUCGAGCGAAUGGAUUAAGAGCUUGCUCUUAUGAAGUUAGCGGCGGACGGGUGAGUAACACGUGGGUAACCUGCCCAUAAGACUGGGAUAACUCCGGGAAACCGGGGCUAAUACCGGAUAAUAUUUUGAACUGCAUGGUUCAAAAUUGAAAGGCGGCUUCGGCUGUCACUUAUGGAUGGACCCGCGUCGCAUUAGCUAGUUGGUGAGGUAACGGCUGACCAAGGCAACGAUGCGUAGCCGACCUGAGAGGGUUAUCGGCCACACUGGGACUGAGACACGGCCCAGACUCCUACGGGAGGCAGCAGUAGGGAAUCUUCCGCAAUGGACGAAAGUCUGACGGAGCAACGCCGCGUGAGUGAUGAAGGCUUUCGGGUCGUAAAACUCUGUUGUUAGGGAAGAACAAGUGCUAGUUGAAUAAGCUGGCACCUUGACGGUACCUAACCAGAAAGCCACGGCUAACUACGUGCCAGCAGCCACCGUAA